This 254-nucleotide ribosomal RNA is filed under the name uncultured bacterium. RNAcentral's name for it is "partial 16S ribosomal RNA". It matches the Rfam family "Bacterial small subunit ribosomal RNA", at positions 524 to 776 of the family's 1533-position model. The record is from RNAcentral.
CACGUAGGGUGCGAGCGUUGUCCGGAAUUACUGGGCGUAAAGAGCUCGUAGGCGGUGUGUCGCGUCGGCCGUGAAAACCUGCAGCUUAACUGUGGGCUUGCGGUCGAUACGGGCAUCACUGGAGUUCGGCAGGGGAGACUGGAAUUCCUGGUGUAGCGGUGAAAUGCGCAGAUAUCAGGAGGAACACCGGUGGCGAAGGCGGGUCUCUGGGCCGAUACUGACGCUGAGGAGCGAAAGCGUGGGGAGCGAACAGG